UCCCUGGUGAUCGAAAGCUCCGGCGGUGCAGGAUGAGCCCGCGGCCUAUCAGCUUGUUGGUGAGGUAAUGGCUCACCAAGGCGACGACGGGUAGCCGGCCUGAGAGGGCGACCGGCCACACUGGGACUGAGACACGGCCCAGACUCCUACGGGAGGCAGCAGUGGGGAAUAUUGCACAAUGGGCGAAAGCCUGAUGCAGCGACGCCGCGUGAGGGAUGACGGCCUUCGGGUUGUAAACCUCUUUCAGCAGGGAAGAAGCGAAAGUGACGGUACCUGCAGAAGAAGCGCCGGCUAACUACGUGCCAGCAGCCGCGGUAAUACGUAGGGCGCGAGCGUUGUCCGGAAUUAUUGGGCGUAAAGAGCUCGUAGGCGGGCUUGUCACGUCGGGUUGUGAAAGCCCGGGGCUUAACCCCGGGUCUGCAGUCGAUACGGGCAGGCUAGAGUUCGGUAGGGGAGAUCGGAAUUCCUGGUGUAGCGGUGAAAUGCGCAGAUAUCAGGAGGAACACCGGUGGCGAAGGCGGAUCUCUGGGCCGAUACUGACGCUGAGGAGCGAAAGCGUGGGGAGCGAACAGGAUUAGAUACCCUGGUAGUCCACGCCGUAAACGGUGGGCACUAGGUGUGGGCAACAUUCCACGUUGUCCGUGCCGCAGCUAACGCAUUAAGUGCCCCGCCUGGGGGAGUACGGCCGCAAGGCUAAAAACUCAAAGGAAUUGACGGGGGCCCGCACAAGCGGCGGGAGCAUGUGGCUUAAAUUCGACGCAACCGCGAAAGAACCUUACCAAGGGUUUGACAUACACCCGAAAACGUCUUGGAGAC
RNAcentral lists this ribosomal RNA (816 nucleotides) under Streptomyces massasporeus. RNAcentral's name for it is "bacterial SSU rRNA". It matches the Rfam family "Bacterial small subunit ribosomal RNA", at positions 190 to 1007 of the family's 1533-position model. Lineage: Bacteria; Bacillati; Actinomycetota; Actinomycetes; Kitasatosporales; Streptomycetaceae. The record is from RNAcentral.